This 238-nucleotide ribosomal RNA is filed under the name uncultured bacterium. RNAcentral describes it as "partial 16S ribosomal RNA". It matches the Rfam family "Bacterial small subunit ribosomal RNA", at positions 122 to 354 of the family's 1533-position model. The record is from RNAcentral.
UAACCUGCCCAAGAGACUGGGAUAACACCUGGAAACAGAUGCUAAUACCGGAUAACAACACUAGACGCAUGUCUAGAGUUUAAAAGAUGGUUCUGCUAUCACUCUUGGAUGGACCUGCGGUGCAUUAGCUAGUUGGUAAGGUAACGGCUUACCAAGGCAAUGAUGCAUGGCCGAGUUGAGAGACUGAUCGGCCACAUUGGGACUGAGACACGGCCCAGACUCCUACGGAAGGCAGCAG